ACCAACAAAGACAAGAAACAGAUGUACUCUUCAACAAGUCAAAGGUACAUGUUUGAAGGAGAGUCGUGAAAAAAGUGAUAAAGGUUGCAAGGCACAGGAGAAGAUGGGUGAUGUCAAGCACAAAAAGUGACAUGAAACCUGUUGUCUGUGACUCUCAACAUGUUAUCAACUGCAUAAUUAGAGAAAUGGUAACUGACAGGUUAACAGAUGGAAAACCCUGCUGCUCUGCUUUACUGUUUCUGCAUUAUCUGGAUUUGACAUUGAGGUCAAAGAAAUUACUCCAAGGAUAA
This 290-nucleotide long non-coding RNA is filed under the name Crocodylus porosus (Australian saltwater crocodile). RNAcentral describes it as "lncRNA (ENSCPRG00005005891.1)". The record is from RNAcentral. Lineage: Eukaryota; Metazoa; Chordata; Crocodylia; Crocodylidae.